Molecule: long non-coding RNA, 1798 nt
Filed under: Apteryx owenii (little spotted kiwi)
Lineage: Eukaryota; Metazoa; Chordata; Aves; Apterygiformes; Apterygidae
Description: lncRNA (ENSAOWG00000005495.1)
Source: RNAcentral
UCCUGCUUMAGCUUAUAUAGCCCAUUCUGAAUGUUUYGUAUACGCGCRUGGAUUGAUUGYGAAUGGUCGGUAAGAUUGAGACAACACAUCCCCUCAAACUCGUCACACCCAUGUCCAUGAGCUAAGAGCAAGAAAUCUAUAGCGGCCCUAUUUUGUAACACAGCGUGGUUUAUGCUCAGSGCAUCCUGAGACAUCUCAUCUAGUACUCGUGAUGUAAUAKUUAACUCAUUUUUGGUCCAACAAGCCAAUUGCUCCGCCAAUUUCAUCGCCUUAAGCCCAGUGGCUCCCGGCAGCAGCGUAGCAGUCGCCAGCUGCCGGAAGCCUGACCAAAAUACGGGAUCGCCAAUGUCCUUGCACUYUAGCUCAUGCACACUCCUUCUGCCCCGCCCGUGCUUCAUCAAGAUCAAGUUCUGCAGUUGGGUGAGAUUGGGGUGGAACAGACUCAAUCUCCCCARGUAGCACGGGCCUCCACGCAGGAUGCGUGGCACGCCGUUCCAGGCCCUAUCCCCGCAUAUCAGAAAUAUACCAGGCGGCAGCGCUUUCGCUGUUGUGUGGCUUGUUGCGUUGCAGUUCGUAUACACCCGGCCAUGCACGUCACUGCUGCUUAAGGCGGAAUUCAAGGUUACCCAUUUUGAUGACCGCUCUUCCACCAACCCCCCCAACACUCUUUUGUUCGUGCCCAGUCAUUGCAGCACGCUCACAAUCACAAUCCCGUUCGUUCCGGGUGAGGMUGGUGCUUUGUUUUCGUCCUCUGUCAAGAGCCUCCAGUUCCUGCCGUGGGUCUUCAAGCGCAGGUAGUAGCUGACUCACGGGCUGUUUCCAGUGAGCAGUCGUCCGCAGGUCCAGCGUUACUCUUCUUCAACCAUGGUCGAACCCGCUUCGCGGGUAUCCACUCCGUACCAGUACCUGCAAUGACACAAGCAUACCCUCRGCCCCAAGUGAGUAAUUCCACAGGCCCCUGCCAUGAAUGUGUUUGUGGUACCCAUCGGGACACGAGCGUCUUAAUAGGUCUCGUAGUCUGYGCAUGGCGUGCCCCCGGGCUGAUCAACYCCCCUUGGUCUAUUUCAAUGAGGUUGCGCCAAUUUAACACAUAACAGCUUUUUGCUACGAUGUCAUGGACGGGGAGRGAUACCUCCCCCUCCUUUUUYAAAAYAGCAAAAAGGCGUUUUAAAUMCUGAUGUCGGCGCUCCACUAUGGCCUGGCCAGUGGAAUUAUAGGGGACCCCCGUGGAAUGUGUAAUGUCCCAAGCUCGCAUAAACUCAGCGCACGCGGCGCUCGUAUAGGCAGGUCCAUUGUCGGUUUUUAUCUGAGCCGGCUUCCCCAGCGCGGCAAAGGCUUGCAGCCAAUGCAGGCGGCAGGCAGUGAAGCGYGUGGAGGUUGCGGCAGUGGCCCAGGUCAUUUUACUGAAUGUAUCRACUGAUACAUGGACAAAGCGCAGUCGCCCAAAGGCAGGGACUUCUGUGACAUCGGUCUGCCAUAGCUGGCGAGGUUCCAGCCCACGUGGGUUUGUCCCUGUGUCCUGCAGCGGGGGAAUGUGUGCACAAUCAGGGCACGCGGCCACUAUGGCCCUGCUUUCUGCCCGGGAUAAGUUGAACUCCUUUUGCAAAGAUCUAGCYGACUGGUGAAAAAACGCAUGRKAUYGUUGYGCCAGCUGUAACCUAGUUUUUUCUUCACCGGCGGCUGAGACUUGGGCAUCUAUGCGCUGGUUGCCCUCUGCCAAUAUUCCCGGCAGCCCCGAAUGGCUACAGACGUGUGUGCACCAGAACGGCUGAACGUGAGAAUUUAAAUGGCCGCCUGC